GUGUCAGGCACUAAGCAAGACACCAGAGAAACAACGGUCUACAAGACAGAUUUGGCCCCUGAACCAGUGGAACUUCACGGUUGAGUGAGGGAGGGAGAGCAGAAGUGUGAGUUGUGAGAAAUGCAAUGAUGGAAACACAGCACUGUCAUCGAGACUAACACAGGGGAUACACACACGGGACGGGAGGCAGAAUGUUGCGAUGUUGGACCAAAAUUAGACUGUCCUUGUGAACUUACGCAAUAUGUAUCUAUCCUAUCUUUGUCUGCUGAAAGGCCUCGCUUCCAGGGAUGCUGAGUUUACCCGGUGCCCAGAUCUUAGUUGCUAAAUAUCCUUCUCCGUGAAAGGGCACCGUUCCUUGAAGAAAUGGCUUCUGAUCUCAGGGCUGGUGCGGAGGAAGUACAAGCAGGUGUGAUCACACGCUGGCCGAGGGUCUUACUCUGUUGCUCGUGCUGGAAUACAGUGGUG
Macaca mulatta (Rhesus monkey) is the source of this 465-nucleotide non-coding RNA. Lineage: Eukaryota; Metazoa; Chordata; Mammalia; Primates; Cercopithecidae. The record is from RefSeq and is a predicted model, not a curated record.